CUAUUGCAUCAGGCAGGAAACUCUGUUGUGAUAUCCAGCCUUGGAGCACUGGACUAGAGGAACUGCCGGAGGAGAAGUUUUCCUUGUCUACCCAAAGAAGAGGUUAAUGUCACCUGCAUCCCACGACUAUUAUGAGGAGUCCAUGCAAUUAUGAAUUCCCCGAGAGAUGGGUCCUUAAGAAGAUAAAAGAAGUGGUAUAACAAUCUUCCACUAACCAUUUUCAUAAAAUCCAUGGCUAUGAUGUAAUCACCCUGGAAUUAGAUUGAAAAAAUUACUUGAGCUAGAUUGUAUACAGUACUGUGUCAUUCUGCAAAGAACGGGACGGUUGAAAGUGGUUAAGAGCAAUAGUCUGGAACUAAAAAUGGAAAGAUUGGGAAAGAUAUUAAAAACAAACCAGCCACAACCACCUCCCAAGUCGUAACAAGAAUUGGGCAAUGGAAGUGAGGCCUGAGUCACCGUCAAACAGAAGAUUCAACGAUAGGUCAGCAAGUAGAUGGAACCAUGCUGGAAUGACCAGAUGCAGACUGCCUGAGGUUGAUGGUGGCCUGGACCUUCAUAAGAGGAUACAAAGACCUAAUGAAGAAAACGUUUUGAUAAUAGUUCUCUUCUUAUAGAAAGUAUCUCUCCACCACCAUCACCACCACCCUCAACACUCACCAAUGAGCUCAAAGCAAUUUUCAUGAAAAUAACAGCACAUCUAUGAGGUGUUCUUCCCCUCUUCUCUGCUUCCUGGCUACCAUGAAACGAGCAGCUAUGUUCCACUGUAGCCUUCCACCAUGACAUUCCUGUCUUCGAGCAAGCCAACCAUAGACCGAAACCUCUGAGACUGUAGGUCAAAAUAAACCUCUCCUCCCUUAAAUUGUAGGUGUCAGGUAUUUUUGUCUUAGCAAUGGAAA
Non-coding RNA from Heterocephalus glaber (naked mole-rat), 896 nucleotides. Lineage: Eukaryota; Metazoa; Chordata; Mammalia; Rodentia; Bathyergidae. The record is from RefSeq and is a predicted model, not a curated record.